UCCCGAAUACCACUGCUUCCAUUAUCCCGUUGAAUUUUGGAUACCAGUUUCAAAAUGCAUUUCAUUAGACAUGGUCAUACAAACAUGUUGGUUCUGUGUCUUUGUCUGUUUUGUUUGUCUUCUGCUUAUCAAAUUAUAGUCUCAGGUAAAGAUGGCGAAACCGAUCUUUGUAAGAGCGUUACAAAUGAUAUUAAAAAUUUGGAAAGAAAGAUGAAUAAAAAACUUGAGCAAAUGGUGACGACACUUCAACAGAGUAUAGAAAAUAAAUGUAGUAAUGAAAUAUUAGAACCCUUAUAUGAAGUAGCAAAAGGAAAAGCAGCAAAGCAAAGUUCAUUAUAUCAGGGGAAAUAUUAUCCUGCUGGUUGGGCCGUUGAUGGUAAUACUGGUACUUUUUCUCACACUAAUGGCGAAAAAAAAUCCGUAUUGGUGGGUAGAUCUAGGAAGACUGUACAGAGUAACACGGAUUGAAGUGCAUAGCCGAAAAGGCUGUUGUGGUUCCUAUCUGCAUGACAUGGACGUUACUGUGGGACCUUCUCUUAACGAGAUGUCUUUAUGCACCCACUAUAAAGGUCCUGCAAGAACAGGAGAACAUUUCGUCUUGGACUGUAAAGCAACGUUGGUUGGGCGGUUUGUCAAACUGUCUAUUACCAGUGAUAAAAAAGAAAUUGUGCAGAUGGCAGAAUUGAAAGUGUUUGCGUAUCGAAACAAACAAUAAAAUGUUAAAUAGGAA
Molecule: long non-coding RNA, 730 nt
Organism: Mytilus californianus (California mussel)
Lineage: Eukaryota; Metazoa; Mollusca; Bivalvia; Mytilida; Mytilidae
Exons: 3
Source: RefSeq, a predicted model, not a curated record